GCAUCGAUGAAGAACGCAGCGAAAUGCGAUACGUAAUAUGAAUUGCAGAUAUUCGUGAAUCAUCGAAUCUUUGAACGCACAUUGCGCCCUCUGGUAUUCCGGAGGGCAUGCCUGUUUGAGCGUCGUUUCUCCCUCAAACCCCUAGGGUUUGGUGUUGAGCAAUACGACUUGGGUUUGCUUGAAAGAUGAUAGUGGUAUAAGGCGGAGAUGCUUGACAAUGGCUUAGGUGUAACCAAAAACAUUGCUAAGGCGGUCUCUGGCGUCGCCCAUUUUAUUCUUCAAACUUUGACCUCAAAUCAGGUAGGACUACCCGCUGAACUUAAGCAUAUCAAUAAGCGGAGGA
This 343-nucleotide ribosomal RNA is filed under the name Candida dubliniensis. RNAcentral's name for it is "eukaryotic LSU rRNA". The stretch from base 1 to 125 matches the Rfam family "5.8S ribosomal RNA", at positions 30 to 154 of the family's 154-position model. Lineage: Eukaryota; Fungi; Ascomycota; Pichiomycetes; Serinales; Debaryomycetaceae. The record is from RNAcentral.